GUGAUUGAUAAACCUCUAACACACUCAAGUAUCUUUGGUUCAUAUAGCUUGCUAUACCAACUAUACUGUGUGUUAAGUUUCUCGAUCUAGGACUGGUUCAUAUAGCUUGCUAUACCAGCUCUGACGCAUUAUAUCUUAUAAAACCCAGGAUUUUUCUUCUUUUCUUUCUUUUAAUCAUUGUUUCUUAUCUUUUGCAAUAUGUGGGGGAUUGUUAUUAUUUUAAAUAAUAUAAUAUUGCAAAAGAUUUGGGUGACUGUUGCAGAAGCCAUAAAAUUCGGAGAAAAUUUUGAGCUUGGACCGCAAGUCUUUGACUUGAAGAUUUUCCAACUGGUGCUAACGUUUUUUCUUCCGUAAGCUCCGUGCAACGUUCAAAUGUUGUUGCCAACAUUAAUAUUUUUGCAUGCAACGUUCAAUUUUCUUUGCACGGUCAUUUAUUUUAUUAAAAAUUAUUUAUUUUAAUAGAAGAUAUUUUAGAUAUUUGGAUCAUGGGCCUGAUCCAUAAACUCUAUAAAUAGAGCCCCUCCUCCACUCCAAAUUCAUCCGUUCUCUCAUUCUCUCAUUCUCUCAUUCCUUUUCUCUCAUUCUCUCCUUUCUUCUAUUUUCUUAAAAUUAUCCUGGGUUUCAUUCUAUCUCUUUUAAAGAGAUCCUUGCUAGUUCUGAGAUCAUCAGAAAUUUCUGAGAAGUUCCUGUUGUAUCCUGGGGGGCUUGCGCAAUACACCGCAGAUAAGUCCUUAAGGACAGUGACUCUACAUGCCUCAGGAAAUAUUUGUUCGUGAUUCUGUCAGCAUUUCUACAACUGUUCCUGGGUUUGCGGUUUGGAGAAGAGACAUGGAUCUCAGUGAAUGCAGAAGAAUGACAGAACCUCUAUUUUAAUUUUAAUAAUUUAAUAUAUUUAAUAGUCUUUUAUUAUAUUUUCAUUUAUUAAUAUAUUUAACAAUUAAAAAUGUUAUAAUCCGGAUGCCACCUGCAUGUUCCAGCUUGCUACGUAUUAAAUAAGUUAACGUCGUUAACUGUAUUUAAUGGAAAGACUGUUAUUGAAUUAAAUUGACCAAAUUAGGGACCUAAUUGAUCACUUACAAAAUUAGAUGACCCAAUUGAAACAAAGUUUUAAAUAUAAGGACCUCCGAACCUAUUAAACCUUUUUUAAAUCAACAAAAUUGUACAUUAGUUAUUUAAUAAACAAUGUAAAAUAUCUUCUCAAUCAUAUUACAUCAGUCAGAUCUACAUCGGUUCUAUACUCGAUGUAAAAAUUGAUUUUUAAUUACUCAUCAUAGGUCUAAACAGAACAACUAACUUAUUAAUUAAAUCUUUUAUU
This 1315-nucleotide long non-coding RNA is filed under the name Vigna radiata. RNAcentral describes it as "long non-coding RNA (VRAD_LNC012560)". Lineage: Eukaryota; Viridiplantae; Streptophyta; Magnoliopsida; Fabales; Fabaceae. The record is from RNAcentral.